AUUGAACGCUGGCGGCAGGCCUAACACAUGCAAGUCGAACGGUAACAGGAAGCAGCUUGCUGCUUUGCUGACGAGUGGCGGACGGGUGAGUAAUGUCUGGGAAACUGCCUGAUGGAGGGGGAUAACUACUGGAAACGGUAGCUAAUACCGCAUAACGUCGCAAGACCAAAGAGGGGGACCUUCGGGCCUCUUGCCAUCGGAUGUGCCCAGAUGGGAUUAGCUUGUUGGUGGGGUAACGGCUCACCAAGGCGACGAUCCCUAGCUGGUCUGAGAGGAUGACAAGCCACACUGGAACUGAGACACGGUCCAGACUACUACGGGAGGCAGCAGUGGGGAAUAUUGGACAAUGGGCGCAAGCAUGAUGCAGCCAGGGCGCGUGUAUGAAGAAGGCCUUCGGGUUGUAAAGUACGUUCAGCGGGGAGGAAGGGAGUAAAGUUAAUACCUAUACUCAUUGACGUUACCCGCAGAAGAAGCACCGGCUAACUCCGUG
This 490-nucleotide ribosomal RNA is filed under the name uncultured bacterium. RNAcentral's name for it is "partial 16S ribosomal RNA". It matches the Rfam family "Bacterial small subunit ribosomal RNA", at positions 30 to 507 of the family's 1533-position model. The record is from RNAcentral.